Molecule: ribosomal RNA, 491 nt
Filed under: uncultured bacterium
Lineage: Bacteria
Description: partial 16S ribosomal RNA
Rfam family: Bacterial small subunit ribosomal RNA
Source: RNAcentral
AGUGAACGCUGGCGGUAGGCCUAACACAUGCAAGUCGAACGGCAGCACAGUAAGAGCUUGCUCUUACGGGUGGCGAGUGGCGGACGGGUGAGGAAUACAUCGGAAUCUACUUUUUCGUGGGGGAUAACGUAGGGAAACUUACGCUAAUACCGCAUACGACCUAUGGGUGAAAGCAGGGGAUCUUCGGACCUUGCGCGAUUGAAUGAGCCGAUGUCGGAUUAGCUAGUUGGCGGGGUAAAGGCCCACCAAGGCGACGAUCCGUAGCUGGUCUGAGAGGAUGAUCAGCCACACUGGAACUGAGACACGGUCCAGACCCCUACGGGAGGCAGCAGUGGGGAAUAUUGGACAAUGGGCGCAAGCCUGAUCCAGCCAUACCGCGUGGGUGAAGAAGGCCUUCGGGUUGUAAAGCCCUUUUGUUGGGAAAGAAAAGCAGCAGGUUAAUACCCCGCUGUUCUGACGGUACCCAAAGAAUAAGCACCGGCUAACUUCGU